Molecule: transfer RNA, 48 nt
Filed under: Paroedura bastardi
Lineage: Eukaryota; Metazoa; Chordata; Lepidosauria; Squamata; Gekkonidae
Description: tRNA-His
Source: RNAcentral
AACAUAACUUAUAAUAACAUUGGGCCAUGGCCCAACCCGAGAGUUGCU